This 401-nucleotide ribosomal RNA is filed under the name uncultured bacterium. RNAcentral's name for it is "bacterial SSU rRNA". It matches the Rfam family "Bacterial small subunit ribosomal RNA", at positions 359 to 776 of the family's 1533-position model. The record is from RNAcentral.
GAAUAUUGCACAAUGGACGAAAGUCUGAUGCAGCAACGCCGCGUGUGCGAUGAAGGCCUUCGGGUUGUAAAGCACUUUUAUGAGGGAAGAGCAAGGACUGUACCUCAUGAAUAAGGAUCGGCUAACUACGUGCCAGCAGCCGCGGUAACACGUAGGAUCCGAGCGUUAUCCGGAUUUACUGGGCGUAAAGCGCGUGUAGGUGGUUUGCUAAGUUGGGUGUUAAAUCUCUCAGCUCAACUGGGAGGUGUCGCUCAAAACUAGUAGACUGGAGGAUGGUAGAGGGAGGUGGAAUUCCGGGUGUAGUGGUGAAAUGCGUAGAUAUCCGGAGGAACACCAGUGGCGAAGGCGGCCUCCUGGACCAUUCCUGACACUCCAACGCGAAAGCUAGGGGAGCAAACGGG